Molecule: long non-coding RNA, 2043 nt
Organism: Equus caballus (horse)
Lineage: Eukaryota; Metazoa; Chordata; Mammalia; Perissodactyla; Equidae
Source: Ensembl
GGGGGCGGGACGUAGAGGGGCGGGGCGGGAUCGCUUCCCAGUAAUAAGUACUGGCGGGCUUCUGUGAGAACCGGGAAGUAACGACUCGGAGAUGGAAUUGUUCAGAGCGGAGACUAGUAGGAAAUUGGGAUUCCAAUUCGACUCCUGAACUCAUACCAUUACUUCCUAACUGGGUCAAAUUAAUCAAACUCUGUAAGCUUUACUUUCCUCUACAAUAUGUUUAGAAAAUUAAAUGAGUAUUUAGGGAAAGUGUUUAGCAUGGGCCUGGCUCGUGGAAAUCCCUUAAUAACAGUUAGCUAUAAUGUGAGUUGUGACUACAAGUGCCCCUCAAAGCCAUGUGAGAUAUCCAAAUUUUAGUGAGUUUACCACUUUAAAUAUCUCAGGAGACAAAAGAAUUCAAGGUGCUAUCAAGCACAAAGUUCUUUGCUGGUUCGAAAAUAUAUUUACCCGCCUAUUUAAGUAUUCUUGGCUAAAAAAGAAGAGUUGAACCUGAAUCUGCCACCAGAAAUAUAGGAAUAAAGGAAAAUUGUAAAGGGUUCAUACCAUUUGAAAGCAAUCAGCCUAAUCCAGAAUGUGGGAAAUUAUAGAAAACAAUCUGGUUUCUUCAACAAAUCAAUGUCUUUAACGGGGUGGGAGAUUGCAAUAGAUUAAAAGAUUUUAGAGAUAUAUCAACCAAAUAUAGCCUCAUUAUGAUUCUGACUGGACAAAAAAAGACCUUUUUGAGACACGGAGGAAUAAGAGCUGGACAGUACUAGAUGGUACCAGAUGUUUAGCAAACCUCACUUGUGUCAUCUCACUGAUGUUAUCCAUGUUCUCCAAGACAAAAGUGGCCGGACAGGAUUGUCAGCUACAGGAUCUUAAAUGGUAGCUCAUCCACCAGUAGCCAAGAAGGAUGCUUGUAAUGAUGAACUACCACUGUGCUGGAGCAUGAGCAGUAAGACGGCAAAAACAGAAGGCAACGAGAGCAAGAGGACACUUUCUAAAAAGACAACUAUCACUUCAAACAAUAAAGGCACAGCUCCACAAAACAUUUAUUCAGCAAAGUAACUAUACUCCGUGCCAACAGCACAUACUGACAUCGCAACAAACAAUUCUGCAAAGAUCAUCCCUAAUGAACAAGGAAUACUAGCCCCACCGGGGAGGUGGGAAUUCACUCUGACUGGGAGGGCUCCACAGAGGUAGCUGCUUACCCCGGUCUUAAUAGAUGAGGAGGAUUUUACUGGAUAGAUCAAGGAGAAAGCAGAUGUAGGGAGAGGAAAUAGCAUGUGUGGAAGUCCAGAUUCUAAAACAGAAAGAUGUGUCCAAGGACCCUCGACCAGGACUAUGUGGCUGCAUGUGGCUGCAGUGACGUGAGAGAAGCUGGGGUGAGCCUGGGAAGAGUGGCUGGGGUCAGGUCCUGAAGAACCCUGAUGCUCUAUGUUGUACAAGAAUUUAUCUGGUUCUUGCCUCUGGUUCUUCCUCAGAGGUAAAUGCCAAAUCCUUGACAUUUCCUGAGUGAUUCUUUGUUAUUCAUGGUGGGUCCCUGACCACACCUGAGUUUGUGCUAAUGCGAUGACUCAGGAUGUGGACCAGCCAUGCUGGAAAGACCAACCAUGUGAUUAGAGGGUUGGGGCUUUGAGCCAGCCGACCUUUAGGGCGUGGAGGGGGGCUGGAGACUGAGUUUAAUCACGUGGCCAAUAAUUCAAUCAAUCAUGCCUACGUAAUAAAACUCCAAUAAAAUUCGAGACACAAAGGCUCCAGUGAGCUUCCUGGUUGGUGAACACAUCAAUGUGCCAGGAGGAUGGUGCAUCUUGAUUCCACAGGGUAAGUGCACAGAAGCUCUACAUUCAGGAUGCUUCCGGACCUGGCCCUGUGUGUCUCUUCAUUGGGUUGGUCCUGAUUUAUACCCUUUAUAAUAAAACUAUAAUCCUAAGCAUAGCACUUUCCUGAGAAUUCUGUGAGUUGUUGUAGCAGAUUAUCAUACCUUAGGCGGUUGAGGAAAUCCCUGAAUUUGUAGCCAGCUGGUCAUGAGUGCAGGUAGCCUGGGGACCCCUGAACUUACAG